This 1433-nucleotide long non-coding RNA is filed under the name Homo sapiens (human). Its description in RNAcentral is "long intergenic non-protein coding RNA 963". Lineage: Eukaryota; Metazoa; Chordata; Mammalia; Primates; Hominidae. The record is from RNAcentral.
GGCAUCCGCCACCACACCCAGCUAAUUUUUUGUAUUUUUUUUAGUAGAGACGGGGUUUCACUGUGUUAGCCAGGAUGGUCUCGAUCCCCUGACCUUGUGAUCCACCCAAGGCCUCGGCCUCCCAAAGUGCUGGGAUUACAGGCAUGAGCCACCGUGCCCGGUCAAUUUUUAUAUUUUUUGUAGAGACAGGGUUUCACCAUGUUGGCCAGGCUGGUGUCGAACUCCCGACCUCAGGUGAUUGUCGGCCUUGGCCUCCCAAAGUGCUGGGAUUACAGGCGUGAGCCACCGCGCCCAGCCGGUGGGCAGCCAGUUGUGUUCCGGGAGGAGGAGGACACCCUGGAAAGACAGUGGGGCCAGACACUGAACUGCCUUUGGAAGCAAGUAGGAGCAACAGCGAAGGUUUGCUGGCUCAGGUUCCCAGUCCCUGAUUUCUGGCCACUCCGCCUUUCUGGUCUCGCCCUGUCACCCAGGCUGGAGUACAGUGGCGCAAUAUGGGCUCACUGCAACCUCCACCUCCUGGGCUCAAGUGAUCCUCCCAUCUCAGACCCUCAAGGAGCUGGGGCUACAGGCACGUGCCACCGUGUCCGGCUAAUUUUUGUAUUUUUUGUAGAGACAGGGUUUCACCAUGUUGCCCAGGCUGGUCUCAAACUCCUGAGCUCAGGUGAUCCGCCUGCCUUGGCCUGCGAUAAAAUUGCACAGAAGUAAAUACACACACGUGAGGAUACGGAAAACCGGGGAAACCUGAGCAAGAGCAGUCAGACCCCGGCUGUGAUGGCGCCCAGUAGUUCUGCGAGAUGUUACCAUUGGGGAAACUGAGUGAAGGCGGGUACCUGGGAUCCCUCUGUUUUCUUUUUUGUUGUUGUUGUUAUUUUGAGAUGAAGUUUCCCUCUUGUUGCCCAGGCUGGGUGAUCCACCUGCCUCGGCCUCCCAAAGUGCUGGGAUUACACGCGUGAGCCACUGUGCCCAGCCUCUCUGUUUUAUUUCUUCUUUUUUUUUUUUUUUUUUUGGAGACGCUCUGUCGCCCAGGCUGGAGUGCAGUGGCACGAUAUUGGCUCACUGCAAGCUCCGCCUCCUGGGUUCACACCAUUCUCCUGCCUCAGCCUCCCGAGUAGCUGGGACUACAGGCGCCCGCCACCUCGCCCGUCUAAUUUUUUGUAUUUUUAGUAGAGGCGGGGCUUCACCGUGUUAGCCAGGAUGGUCUCAAUCUCCUGACCUCGUCAUCCGCCCGUCUCGGCCUCCCAUAGUGCUGGGAUUACAGGCAUGAGCCACCACGCCCGGCUGUUUUAUUUCUUAUAACUGUACAGGAAUCUACAAUGAUUGUAACAAAAAUUUCAAUUAAGGCCACUCUAGGCACAUGGCCUGUGGGGUAGCCCUGCUCAACAAGAAGCCGUCAAAAAAAUGUUUUUUAAUUAAAAAAUUUCUUCAAUUAAAAA